Molecule: non-coding RNA, 107 nt
Organism: Thermoactinomyces sp. Gus2-1
Lineage: Bacteria; Bacillati; Bacillota; Bacilli; Caryophanales; Thermoactinomycetaceae
Source: Rfam
UUCUUAUCCAGAGAGGUGGAGGGACUGGCCCGAUGAAACCUCGGCAACGGGCUCUUCGGAGUACUGUGCCAAUUCCAGCAAGCGUUUUGAAGCUUGGAAGAUAAGAA